Molecule: ribosomal RNA, 328 nt
Filed under: uncultured eukaryote
Lineage: Eukaryota
Description: partial 18S ribosomal RNA
Rfam family: Eukaryotic small subunit ribosomal RNA
Source: RNAcentral
CCCUUAGAUGUUCUGGGCUGCACGCGCGCGACAAUGACGUUUGCAACGAGAUUGCGAGGCCGUCAGGUCGAGCUGAUCUUGCAAGCUGCGUCGUGAUAGGGACAGUCGAUUGCAAUUAUUCGACUCGAACGAGGAAUUCCUUGUAAUCGCGCAUCAUCAGUGCGCGCUGAAUACGUCCCUGCCCUUUGUACACACCGCCCGUCGCUACUACCGAUUGAAUGGUUUAGUGAGAUCUUCGGAUUGGCGCCACUGCGGCUCAGCAAUGGGCUCGGUGGAUGCCGAAAAGUUGAUCAAACUUGAUCAUUUAGAGGAAGUAAAAGUCGUAACA